This 851-nucleotide ribosomal RNA is filed under the name Clavaria stellifera. RNAcentral describes it as "partial large subunit ribosomal RNA". It matches the Rfam family "Eukaryotic large subunit ribosomal RNA", at positions 74 to 928 of the family's 3401-position model. Lineage: Eukaryota; Fungi; Basidiomycota; Agaricomycetes; Agaricales; Clavariaceae. The record is from RNAcentral.
AUUCCCCCAGUAACUGCGAGUGAAGAGGGAAAAGCUCAAAUUUAAAAUCUGGCAGUCUUUGGCUGUCCGAGUUGUAAAUUAGAGAAGCGUUAUCCGCACUGGCCUGUGCAUAAGUCUCUUGGAAAAGGGCAUCAUAGAGGGUGACAAUCCCGUCUUUGGCACAGAUUACCAGGGCUUUUGUGAUGCGCUCUCAAUGAGUCGAGUUGUUUGGGAAUGCAGCUCUAAAUGGGUGGUAAAUUCCAUCUAAAGCUAAAUAUUGGCGAGAGACCGAUAGCGCACAAGUACCGUGAGGGAAAGAUGAAAAGAACUUUGAAAAGAGAGUUAAACAGUACGUGAAAUUGUUGAAAGGGAAACGCUUGAAGUCAGUCACAUCCUUCAGAAAUCAACCAGAUCAAUUUGGUUUGGUGCACUUUCUGUUUGGAUGGGUCAGCAUCAAUUUUGACCAUUGGAUAAAGACCUUGGGAAAGUGACAUCUCUGGAUGUGUUAUAGCCCUUGGUUCAGAUGCAGUGGUUGGGAUUGAGGAAUGCAGUACUUUCAUGUGCUCAGGAUGCUGGCAUAAUGGCUUUAAUCGACCCGUCUUGAAACACGGACCAAGGAGUCUAACAUACAUGCAAGUGUUUGAGUGGAAAACUCAGGCGCGCAAUGAAAGUGAAAGUUGAGAACCCUGUCGUGGGGUGCAUCGACGCCCGGACCUGACCUUUUGUGAUGGACCUGCGGUAGAGCAUGCAUGUUGGGACCCGAAAGAUGGUGAACUAUGCCUGAAUAGGGUGAAGCCAGAGGAAACUCUGGUGGAGGCUCGUAGCGAUUCUGACGUGCAAAUCGAUCGUCAAAUUUGGGUAUAGGGGCGAAA